CCUACGGGAGGCAGCAGUGAGGAAUAUUGGUCAAUGGGCGCGAGCCUGAACCAGCCAAGUAGCGUGAAGGAUGACUGCCCUACGGGUUGUAAACUUCUUUUAUAAAGGAAUAAAGUGCGGCACGUGUGCCGUUUUGUAUGUACUUUAUGAAUAAGGAUCGGCUAACUCCGUGCCAGCAGCCGCGGUAAUACGGAGGAUCCGAGGGGUUUCCGGUUUUAUUGGGUUUAAAGGGAGCGUAGAUGGGUUGUUAAGUCAGUUGUGAAAGUUUGCGGCUCAACCGUAAAAUUGCAAUUGAUACUGGCAGCCUUGAGUACAGUUGAGGUAGGCGGAAUUCGUGGUGUAGCGGUGAAAUGCUUAGAUAUCACGAAGAACUCCGAUUGCGAAGGCAGCUUACUAACCUGCCACUGACAUUGAUGCUCGAAAGUGUGGGUAUCAAACAGGAUUAGAUACCCCUGUAGUC
Molecule: ribosomal RNA, 460 nt
Filed under: uncultured bacterium
Lineage: Bacteria
Description: partial 16S ribosomal RNA
Rfam family: Bacterial small subunit ribosomal RNA
Source: RNAcentral